GAUGAACGCUGGCGGCGUGCCUAAUACAUGCAAGUCGAGCGAACGGACGAGAAGCUUGCUUCUCUGAUGUUAGCGGCGGACGGGUGAGUAACACGUGGAUAACCUACCUAUAAGACUGGGAUAACUUCGGGAAACCGUAGCUAAUACCGGAUAAUAUUUUGAACCGCAUGGUUCAAAAGUGAAAGACGGUCUUGCUGUCACUUAUAGAUGGAUCCGCGCUGCAUUAGCUAGUUGGUAAGGUAACGGCUUACCAAGGCAACGAUGCAUAGCCGACCUGAGAGCGUGAUCGGCCACACUGGAACUGAGACCCCGUCCCGAGUCCUACGGGAGGCCCCAGUCGGGAAUCUUCCGCAAUGGUCGAAAGCCUGACGCAGCGACCCCGCGUCAGUUGUGAAGGUCUUCGGUUCGUAAAGCUCUGUUAUUAGGGAAGAACAUAUGUGUCAGUAACUGUGCACAUCUUGACGGUACCUAAUCAGAAAGCCACGGCUAACUACGUG
Molecule: ribosomal RNA, 497 nt
Filed under: uncultured bacterium
Lineage: Bacteria
Description: partial 16S ribosomal RNA
Rfam family: Bacterial small subunit ribosomal RNA
Source: RNAcentral